GAAACAUUAAUAUAUAAAAAGAGCUACAGGCAUUUUUUUAUACAUUUGCGCGAUAUUUUAAAUACAUUUUAGCGACGUAGUACUGUCUUCGGAAAUAUUUUUCUCUUUAAAAGUUGUGAUGUACUGAACUUUGAUUUCUGCAAUAUCAUUGGUACAAAUAGUGUUCUAUAUAACAUACUUUUGCUAUAGUGUCCGACUGUUAGACUUAGACAGUAAAUUCAGGUAUAGAAAAACUCAAAACUAACAAUUCAAAUAUUAUGUAUUUAAAUGACUUCGGUUAUAAGAAACCGAAC
Molecule: non-coding RNA, 293 nt
Organism: Cinara cedri
Lineage: Eukaryota; Metazoa; Arthropoda; Insecta; Hemiptera; Aphididae
Source: the annotation of a GenBank genome assembly